ACUACGGGUGGCAGCAGUGGGGAAUAUUGCACAAUGGGGGAAACCCUGAUGCAGCAACGCCGCGUGAGUGAAGAAGUAUUUCGGUAUGUAAAGCUCUAUCAGCAGGGAAGAAGAAAGACGGUACUUGACUAAGAAGCCCCGACUAACUACGUGCCAGCAGCCGCGGUAAUACGGAGGGGGCAAGAGUUAUCCGGAUUUACUGGGUGUAAAGGGAGCGUAGACGGCGGGACAAGUCUGAAGUGAAAGCCCGUGGCUCAACCGCGGAACUGCUUUGGAAACUGUAUAGCUUGAGUACUGGGGGGGCAGGCGGAAUUCCUAGUGUAGCGGUGAAAUGCGGAGAUAUUAGGAGGAACACCAGUGGCGAAGGCGGCCUGCUGGACAGAAACUGACGUUGAGGCUCGAAAGCGUGGGGAGCAAACAGGAUUAGAUACCCCAGUAGUC
RNAcentral lists this ribosomal RNA (441 nucleotides) under uncultured bacterium. RNAcentral describes it as "partial 16S ribosomal RNA". It matches the Rfam family "Bacterial small subunit ribosomal RNA", at positions 338 to 795 of the family's 1533-position model. The record is from RNAcentral.